Molecule: ribosomal RNA, 433 nt
Filed under: uncultured bacterium
Lineage: Bacteria
Description: partial 16S ribosomal RNA
Rfam family: Bacterial small subunit ribosomal RNA
Source: RNAcentral
AACGAACGCUGGCGGCAUGCCUAACACAUGCAAGUCGAACGAGACCUUCGGGUCUGGUGGCGCAGGGGUGCGUACGGCGUGGUAACCUGCCCUUAGGUACGGAAUAACUGCCGGUAAGGGGUGCUAAUACCGGAUAAUGUCUUCGGACCAAAGAUUUAUCGCCUUUGGAUGGGCCCGCGUUGGAUUAGCCAGUUGGUAGUGUAAAAGCCUACCAAGGCGACGAUCCAUAGCUGGGCUGAGAGGAAGAUCAGCCACACUGGGACUGAGACACGGCCCAGACUCCUACGGGAGGCAGCAGUGGGGAAUAUUGGAAAAUGGGCGAAAGCAUGAUCCAGCAAUGCCGCGUGAGUGAUGAAGGCAUUAGGGUUGUAAAGCUCUUUUACCCGGGAUGAUAAUGACAGUACCGGGAGGAUAAGCUCCGGCUAACUCCGUG